UCCCUCCAUUUUGGUUGGGACCACUGGUUGCCCACUGAAGCUAAGCAGGGCUGAGCCUGGUCAGUACCUGGAUGGGAGACCUCCUGGGAAAACUAGGUUGCUGCUGGAA
This 109-nucleotide ribosomal RNA is filed under the name Sinocyclocheilus anshuiensis. The record is from RNAcentral. Lineage: Eukaryota; Metazoa; Chordata; Actinopteri; Cypriniformes; Cyprinidae.